ACUGCUCAGUAACACGUGGAUAACCUGCCCUUGGGUUCGGGAUAACCCCGGGAAACUGGGACUAAUACCGGAUAGAUCAAAGAUACUGGAAUGUUCUCUGGUCUAAAACUUCGGUGCCCAAGGAUGGGUCUGCGGCCUAUCAGGUUGUAGUGGGUGUAACGUACCUACUAGCCUACGACGGGUAAGGGUUGUGAGAGCAAGAUCCCUGAGAUGGAUUCUGAGACAUGAAUCCAGGCCCUACGGGGUGCAGCAGGCGCGAAACCUUUACACUGCGGGAAACCGCGAUAAGGGGACCCCGAGUGCCAGCACCUAGUGCUGGCUGUCCCGCUGUCUAAAUAACAGUGGUUAGCAAGGGCCGGGCAAGACCGGUGCCAGCCGCCGCGGUAACACCGGCGGCCCGAGUGGUAGCCGCUAUUAUUGGGUUUAAAGGGCCCGUAGCCGGCCUAUUAAGUCUCUUGGGAAAUCUGGCGGCUUAAUCGUCAGGCGGCCAAGAGAUACUGGUAGGCUUGGGACCGGGAGAGGUGGGAGGUACUCCAGGGGUAGGGGUGAAAUCUCGUAAUCCUUGGGGGACCACCGAUGGCGAAGGCAUCCCACCAGAACGGGUCCGACGGUGAGGGACGAAAGCUGGGGGCACGAACCGGAUUAGAUACCCGGGUAGUCCCAGCUGUAAACGAUGCUCGCUAGGUGUCAGGUGCGGUGCGACCGCAUCUGGUGCCGCAGUGAAAACUUGAAGCGAGUCACCUGGGAAGUACGGUCGCAAGGCUGAAACUUAAAGGAAUUGGCGGGGGAGCAC
This 793-nucleotide ribosomal RNA is filed under the name uncultured archaeon. RNAcentral describes it as "bacterial SSU rRNA". It matches the Rfam family "Archaeal small subunit ribosomal RNA", at positions 85 to 879 of the family's 1478-position model. The record is from RNAcentral.